CAUGAAUGUGGAGGUGCCUCUGGCUGGGUCAGGGAGAUCUGAAUGUGCUUGCUAUUGCUGCCAUUUGUGGUGUCUUAGUCAGUGUUUACAAAGUCAAUGGGAUGAGUAGAUGCUACUGACAAAGUCGUCUGCUCACCCUGAGCACCCAGGCUAGGGAUGGCUGCAGACAUAUCCAGAGGCAUUGCACAACCCCGGGGCCCAGAAACAAGAUUCAGCCUGGGCAGGGCUCAAACAGGCCACAGUUGUCCUGCACGGAAGGAAAAAAAAUGUGAUUUUAAUAGAGGAUAAUUGUAUUGAGCAACAAUAAACAAAAGGGCUUUUACGUGCUUCUUCCACAUACUGAAGUCCUAAGUCUCAACUUACCUAUGUGAGUCACAGGUCAGACUGUAUGUGUGCAGAAUAAAUCUUCCUGAGCCCCACAGGGGUGGUAGAGGUACCUGGGCUGUCAGCACAGUGCCCUGCCUCCUGUGAUGUGUGAUCAGGGAGCAGGCUCUGAGCAGGCAGCAGCUCCUGGGCACACCUGUGUCUGUGCUGCUCUGCUGCUCUCUGCCUUGCCAGCUGGGAGCCCUCCUGAUAUUUUAAGGUCUGUUCCCUGACCUGUGUUCUACCAGAAGUGUUUGCAGAUCCUUGCUGGAGUGCUGAGAAGAUGUCUUCCCAUGGUCACUCUAUUUCUCUUGGAAAGCUCUGGUUUUCUGCAGGGAGUCGUCUGCAAGAUUACAUUUUUGAUUGGCUGAGCUGCCCUCACUUGUUUGUAUCGAGGAGUGACGGUGUUCCAGCAUGCCGUCCUCUGCUCCUGAGAGAGGCCUCUCGUGAAGAAACAGCUCACCUUUCCCCUGGAUGUGCUGGGGUUACACCUCCCCUUUGCCCUGGAUCUGCUGGGGUUACACCUCAGCCCAGGAGGGCACUCCCCAGCCCUGGCUGCUCUCCCAGCACCCCUGUGGCCGUGCUGGGAGCGAAUGCCGGGGCGGAGGGAGGAUCACAGCCUGGUGGCAGGAUCUGCCCGGUGGCUCCCAGGUGCAGCUCUUGCAGCAGUGCCCCAGCCCAGCAGUGAGCUUGCAGAGAGGAGUGAGGCUGGGCAGAGCUGGUGCCAGCAGGAGGGCAGGCUCGCGCCGCCUGCGCGCCGUAUCUCUGCGAAGGAUGCUGCAAUGGCAAUUCUUACCUUGGCUCAAGCACACCCAGGGUCUAGCAGGAGAUAAUCCAUUUCUUCUAAUGAAGCAAGUAUAAGUGGCAGAUAGGAAUUUUUUAGCAGUGUUGGCUGCCCCAAAUAAAACACAGCAGAGAUGUUACUCCUUGUUGUGUUGGCCCUGUUCUUGUCCCCACUGCCAGCCCAAGCAAUGGGUAAAGGUAUGGAAACCACUUUCAAUUUUAAUAAUUAAAUACAUGAGAGCAUUCUGACUUUUCCUAUGAGGAACGGUGCUUGUCCCUGUUGUGUUUUGUCUGGAGACAAUAUUGUUCUUUAGUAAAAAGAAAAUCUUUUGAAGUGGCCAAGACACUCAGCUUCCCAUCCCUACAUUUCUAAACUGUAUUUGAUUAUAGUCAAAUAUAAGAGACUAUAAGAGAUAAGAUAAAUGGCUAUCUUAUACUCAAAAUGGUCACAGUAAGCUUAGUGAAACCAAGUAUUAUUUUUUUAAAAAUUUCGGACUUUAAUAAUUUCCAUGUUCUCCUUCAGAGCUGACUGUAUAUCAAAGGAGGUGAAAGCACCAUUGAAAAACAAACUGGGAUUCCUUCAAGGGAAAGGCUAAGGAAAUGUACACCAUUAAGAGGAUUUGAAAGCCCAUGAAUACGUAGGUGUGACACGAAAUACUGACUAUCACUGCAGAAUACUUAGGAUUAUUCCAAACUACCAGUGAAGUUUCAGUCUAGAUUCAGGUGAUACAUUGAAGAAAAAAAAAAUCAUGGAAAAACCCUGCUAACAGGUUUGUAGCACUGUUCUCACACUUGGGGACAGGACACUAACAGUUUGGGUUCAGAAUUUGAUAAUUUGAUAUUUUGAUGAUGAUAAAUUGAGUGGCUUAGACUCUGCCUAGCAAAUUUACUAAGGCACCUUCUAAGACCUUUCUCAUAAUCUGGUGAUAUUUGGAGUCUUGGUAAUCAUUAAAAUACAAUUCAUCAUCUCCCUUCACAGUGGUCUGUGACAUCCAUUUAGGACUCUAUGUAUGUUAUUUCUGAAUGGCUGUCUUCAUACAUCUAUUCUGUUGUUUAAAAACCAGGAAAAAAACGUAGCUUUCCAUGAUGUGCAGUACCAUAAAAAUGAUUCAGCUAGGAGUCCACAACACAGGCAAAAUUUCAGUGCUCUUCAAUAUCCUCAUGGAACAAAUGGAGUUGUGUUGAAUCAAAUUAAAUAAUUCCAGGUAUUUAAAUCCUCGCUGCUUAGGGGACUGUUUUGAAAGCACAAAGGCAAAGAGUGCACUCUCAGCAAGUUUGCAGAUGGCACCAAGCUGAGUCAUGCUGUUCCAGCCUGAGGGAUGGGAUGCCAUCCCUAGGGACCAGGACAAGCUCCAGAAGUGGAUCCAUGGGAAACUCAUGAGGCACAAGGCUUUGUGCAAGGGCUGCACCUGAGUAAAGGGAGCCCCUGGUAUCCAUGCAGGCUGGGGGAUGAAGGAAUUGAGAACAGCUCUAUGGAGAAGGACUUGGGGUUGCUGGUGGAUGAGAGGCUGGAUGUGAGCUGGCAGUGUCCUCUCAAAGACCAAUAAGCCAACCACAGGCUGGGCUGCAUCAAGGGAAAUGUGGCCAACAGGACGAGGGAGGUGAUUCUCCCCCUCCACUCCUGGGAAAGCACAUGUGGGGUGCUGCUUUCAGCUCUGGAGCUCUCGGCACAGGAAAGACAUGGACCUGUUGGAGCAAGUCCAGAGGAAGGUCAUGAAGAUGAUCAGAGGGCUGGAUCACCUCUCAUAUGAGGAAAAUCUGAGAGUUCAGGUUGUUCAGCCAGGAGAAAAGAAGGCUCUGGGGAGAUCUCAUAGCAUCUUCCAGUAGCUAAAGAGAGAAAGAUGGG
Molecule: long non-coding RNA, 2992 nt
Filed under: Ficedula albicollis (Collared flycatcher)
Lineage: Eukaryota; Metazoa; Chordata; Aves; Passeriformes; Muscicapidae
Description: lncRNA (ENSFALG00000026156.1)
Source: RNAcentral